UACGGGGGGGGCAAGCGUUGUUCGGAAUUACUGGGCGUAAAGGGCUCGUAGGUGGCCAACUAAGUCAGACGUGAAAUCCCUCAGCUUAACUGGGGAACUGCGUCUGAUACUGGAUGGCUUGAGUUUGGGAGAGGGAUGCGGAAUUCCAGGUGUAGCGGUGAAAUGCGUAGAUAUCUGGAGGAACACCGGUGGCGAAGGCGGCAUCCUGGACCAACACUGACACUGAUGAGCGAAAGCCAGGGGAGCAGACGGG
This 253-nucleotide ribosomal RNA is filed under the name uncultured bacterium. RNAcentral's name for it is "partial 16S ribosomal RNA". It matches the Rfam family "Bacterial small subunit ribosomal RNA", at positions 524 to 776 of the family's 1533-position model. The record is from RNAcentral.